RNA transcript from Coffea eugenioides, 1875 nucleotides. RefSeq lists it as uncharacterized. The transcript is spliced from 6 exons. NCBI's taxonomy places the organism in Eukaryota, Viridiplantae, Streptophyta, Magnoliopsida, Gentianales, Rubiaceae. The record is from RefSeq and is a predicted model, not a curated record.
GCAAACCCUAGACCCUAGACCACAGAAAUUGCCGAUUCAAAAAGUCUUCGUUUUUCGUGAAUCAGAGGAUCAAAUCAACAAAUAGACUAUCGGCAUGGUCAAAUUAUUGCAUUAAUUUCAAGCAAUUCGAAGAAAAGGUUUUAACUUGCGUUUGAUUAAAUUUAGUUGCCCAUAAUGAGGUUUAAAAGGGGCAGUAAGGUGGAGGUUAUGAACAAAAAGGAGGUGCCAAUCUCUUGGCGUAGUGCCGAGAUACUAAAUGGGAAUGGUCAUACUUAUUAUGUGAGGUAUGAGUACCAUCCGGUUAUGAACAACAGAUCUAUGAUGGAAAGGGUGUCAAGGAAAUUUGUUAGACCCUGUCCUCUGCCUUCACAGGGCAUAGAGACUUGGAAAGUUGGAGAUACUGUGGAGGUUUUUGAAGAUUUCUCAUGGAAAAUUGCCACCAUAUUGACAGUUAUGCAGGGGGAUUACUACACGGUGAGGCUACUUGGAAGCUCCAAGGAAUCCAAUGUACACAAAUUGAAUAUCCGAGAGCAAUGGUUAUGGCUAGAUGACAAAUGGAUCCUGAUGGGAAAGAAAUCUGGAGCAUGUGGAGUAAAUCAAGUCAACAAGCAAUCAAGUUUGAAUUACUAUGAGAAAACAAGCUUCCAAGCAGCAAAAUUUAAUGCAGGGACACACACUGAAGCACAAAAAAAUUGUUUAGACAUUGAGAAACGAAAUGGGUUGCAGGAGUUUCACAAAUUAUCAAGAUCCCUCAAAAGAUUGUCCCAGGAUAGUUCAUGUGUUAUUGAAUCACUUACUGGGAAGGCUUACAAAAUCAGAGCAGUCGAGAAAGAUUAUAGGAAACAAAAGGUGGCUCCACCCUCAUUGGUGGAAAAGGGACAAAUUUUGGAAGCAUGCUUCCCUUGCUUCCCAAGGUUUAAAGAUGAUGUUGGGGACCUUGGGCUUUGCACCUUUUCCUUGGCAUAUACAGUGGGACACUGCUUGCAUCCACUUUCUUGCAGAUAAGAUCAUGAUGAUGUGGGAAAGUUGUUUCAGGUAAUGGUAGUCCCAUUGGCAAGGGACAGUGAUGUGAUGUUUGUGACCAAAAGUCACGUCACAAGCCUCCAGCAUUGGUGUAAGAUUAAUUUUUCUCACUAUGAUCGAACAAUACAACAUUACUUAACACAGAUUGGCUCCAUUCACUUCAGUAGCAUAUCACUUUCCACAUUGACAGAGUUACGGGUAGUCCACUAAGUAUUCCAGGGCGAAGUUUGCGUCCAUUGAUUCCUGUUAUCUACGGUUUAAACAGAUGAUGCUGGUUCUAACAGUCUUGCGCCCCUUUUCUCAUCAUAAAAAUGAUCAGGUGAUAUGGCUUCCGUGUCCGACUGAUGAGGCAAACUAUGACAAAUUUGUUGUUGCUGGGGCUUGCUUGGGUGCGUCUAUAAAGAUGGCUGAUGUGGAGAUAUGUUGCUAUCAUGGUUAUAUUGGUGUGCUAUCACGUUUGACAGGAGAGUUUCAAGAAGCGCCACAUUCCUCUGUAGUUCAUGAAGAAGACAUAAGUGAAACUGUUCAAAUAAAAAUUCUGGAUAUUUUUCUGUGGCUCUACAGCUGGAAGCACAGCACUCGUACAUGAAGAAACACCACAGAAGGAACUAGGUUCAGUUUUGAUCAUAUAGCACAUCAAAGGCUGUCUACAAUUAGAACGUGGCCUGCUACAAGUCGAACAAGGGGAAAUAACAGUAAAAUUAAAUAAUAAAAAAAACCUCUAGUUAAACUUAUUUCUGUACUUAAUAAACAUAGAGAGACAACCAUGCAAGCUGCUUAGUAUGUGCAAGGAGUUGAAGUAGUGGAGCCUGAAACUUUUGAAGGUUAUGGUCAGAUUUAUCAGGACAACAA